CUAGUUUGAUACUUAAGAUGAGGUGACCUUGGUUAGCAUGUGGUCUUCUGAACAGGUUUGACAGUGCAUGAAAAUAAGUUCUGGUCCAACAGAGACAAAUAUUUCUAAACCAGCAGACAGUGGAGCUCUCCAUUAUUGAUUAGAAGGGUAUUACAACAUCGACAUUCAGGAAAACCUGGCCUUAUUAACAUGUAGAGGCCUUUCAUCUAAGAUCAUACCACCAGUUGCAAUCCAGAACCUAGAUUUCAGCACCACUAAAUAGUAAAUUCAUAGGCCAUUAGUUUUACGUCCAGGAUCCCUCUUCAACUGAAAAUUUAUCAGACAAUGAUUGUACCGUUAUAUCUGGAUCUCAAGACAGUUACGUAACAGUUACUUAGCCUUUACAGUCAACCACUUCUACUAGACUAAGUAGACACAGACUGAUGAAAGUACUAAGGUGGAUCCCAGUUUAACUGAGAAGUAACUAAGCUUGCAGACCAGCAGUUGUGCAUAACUAUUUGCAUACCAGCUCCUAUGAAAUUGUAUGUUGUGUUUAAAAGAUAGCUUUUCGAUACAACAAUAUGAAUCUGAAUUAGAAUAAUGGGCCUCGCAGCGCAAUUCUAUUUAAACAAAGAAGUUGAGAUUUUAAAACCAGUAAAUUUAGAAUCACCUGUAGUGAUUAGCAACUUCUUUUAUUCUUUGGAUUAUGUGGAUGUUUUUUGUAUUUUUUUUAAAUUUGAACCUAAGAUGGAAACCUUCAGAUAUUGUUAUGUUUUUUUUAUCUCACACCAGUACAAAGAGGGCAAGAUGAACUCAUAACAGCUUGUCUAAUCAUACAUAACACAUAAUGAAUGUACAAAUUAUAUAUGUCAUACUAUGUCUUUCACUCUGUCAGUUCAUAUACUGCCAUUUGUUUAUUCAUGACUAUGAAUACUCAGGGAUUAAUCAGAUUCAUUAUGUUUUACAUAACAUGCCAUUCUUAUAUCUCAUUUUGUACAUACAUGUACAUAGCAUAGACAAUACAUUUUUAAUUGAUAUGUAAGUAUACUGUCUAUAAUUCUGUAGCAGUUUCAUCCUCAAUUGAUGCCAAGCAUUUUGUUACAUCACUCAGGGAAUACACAUCUCAUGUCAUAUUAUCAUAUACUAGUACCUGUUUUAAUUGGUAGCACAGCUUUAGGCUUGGAGAAAAAAUGAGCUUACAGAAGUGUAAAUAUAUUCCUCCUCUAGCCUGUUAUUUAUUUUUAGUUCUUGUUUGUAUAUUAAGAUUUGAACGUGUUUUCGAUAUUGUUUUGUACAUAAACAUGCAUUGUUUAAGUUGAAUUACAUGUAAAUAGGUUGUCUAUACUCGAUAUAUCUUGUGUUUGGUUUUAUUGGCUCGACUAUUCGAAGAAUAGGGGAGCUAUCCUACUCGCCCCGGCAACGACGUUAGCGUUAGCGUGGGCGUCACACAAAUGUUAAAGUUUGUGUACCAUCCCAAAUAUUUUCAAAGUCCAUUGAGAUAUUGCUUUAAUAUUUUGCAUACUUGUUAACCAUCAUGACCCCAGUCUGUAAAAAGGAGGAGGCAACUCUAUCAAGCAUUUUGACUGAAUUAUGGCCCCUUUUUGACUUAGAAUAUGCUUAUUGUAAUGUUAAAGUUUUACUCAUUGCUUAUAUUAUACUAUCAUGCACUGAGAAUAGUCGAGCGCGCUGUCCACUGACAGCUCUUGUAGUAAGGAAAUACAGAUUGUUGUGUUAUUAUGUAGCAGACCGCAUUGUAAAUGAGAUAUAGUUGCAUACUUACCUUAUCGAUAUGAUUUUUGUCGAGCCUGCUUGCGGAAGCGAAGACAUAGUUGUCCAAAUGCCUGUUCGGGGUAGUCCGUGCGUGCGUCCGUGCGUCUGUCUGGAUUUGUUUGUCCAUAUUUUUUUGCAUAAAUGUUUGCCUCAAUGAGACAAGGAGUGUCAUGUGCAACUCCCAGUCCUUUCGACAGCUGGCGGGCUCGACAUGUUGCCCGUGGGCAUCUAGUUUAAAAAAAAAAUUACACAGGUGCAUUUUAACGUUGUGUCCAUGGUAAAUUUUGUGCAAAUCUUUGUCACCUUUCAGAUCUAUUAACAAGGGACAUAAAUACAAAACACUUUUUUUUGUCUUUCAAUUGAAGUAAAGAGAUUCUGGUUAGGGAUUACAUUACGAAAAGCUUACAAAUUUCCUUUGACCUCCACAUCCUAGAAAUAUUUAAUGGUUUUAUAUUGCUUUUAAAAGAGCAUAGUUAUUAAUGAUGGUUUUAAGAUGUAAAAGUUUUAAAAUGCAUUCAUCUUAUGAAUUGGAUAUAGUUACAAUGUUUUAGAUAGUUCAGCAAUGCGUAAAAAAUAAGGAAAAUCAAUGUUAAUCAUUUGAAAUGCAAAAGUAAAAAUUAGACGAAAAUAAGUAAUUAUAAAGAAUUUGCAAAUUAAUGUCUUUUUAAGAUAAAAGCGGAUCUGCUUUGGUGCCUUCUAUGCUUCGAAAGUGUCUUUUCACAGAUUGUAAUAUUUCAUUUUGGUUUCCAUAAUGUCUUUUAAACUGAGAUGUGUUUUUAAAUACAUAUUCUGCUGAUGAUAUGAUACACUCUUAUAGCUUUCCAUUAUACUGCCUUUCAGCAAUUUAUAUUGGUGUAAAGUUAUAUUGCAUUGGCUAUUGCACAGACUAUAGUAUACAACAUUGACUUCCCCUGUCAGCUGUUCUGAUUAUGAUUUUUUAUAGAUUUUAACUUCCCUCAAGAAAUAUACUCUUCUAAAUUUUGAUGUUGGAAAUUAUUUGAUUGUCUUCAUAUAUGCAUUUUUAUUAGCUCACCUGAGCACUAAGUGCUCAAAGAUGAGCUUUUGUGAUCGCCCUGUGUCUGUCGUCUUCCGUCAUCAGUCAUCCGUCGUCAACAAUUUGACUGUUAACACUCUAGAGGUCACGAUUUUUGCUCAAACUUAAUGAAACUUGGUCAGAAUGUUACCCUUAAUAAAAUCUUGGACAACUUUGAUAUUGGGUCAACUUGGGUCAAAAACUAGAUUACCAGGUCAAAAAAUGGAAAAGCUUGUUAACACUCUAGAGGUCACAAAUUUGGCCCAAUCUUAAUGAAACUUGGUCAGAAUGUUACCCUUAAUAAAAUCUUGGACAAGUUUGAUAUUGGGUUAUCCGGGAUUAAAACUAGGUCACAAGGUAAAUCAAAGGAAAAGCUUGUUAACACUCUAGAGGUCAAAUUUUUGGCCCAAUCGUAAUGAAACUUGGUCAGAAUAUUACCCUUGAUAAAAUCUUGGAUAAGUUCGAUAUUGGGUCAUCUGGGGUCAGAAACCAGGUCAUCAGGUCAGAUCAAAGGAAAAGCUUGUUAACACUCUAGAGGUCACAAUUUUGGCCCAAUCUUAAUGAAACUUGGUCAGAAUGUUACCCUUAAUAAAGUCUUGGACAGGUUUGCUAUUUGGUCAUCCGGGGUCUAAAACUAAGUCACCAGGUCAAGUCAAAGGAAAAGCUUGUUAAUACUGUAGAGGCCAGAUUUAUGACUGUAUCUUCAUGAAACUUGGUUUGAAUGCUAAUUUUGAUGAUUACAAGGUCCAGUUUGAAUCUGGAUCAUAUAAGAUCAGAAACUAGGUCACCAGGUCAGAUCAAAGGAAAAGCUAGUUUACACUGUAGAGGCCACAUUUAUGACCAAAUCUUAAUGAAACUUGGUCAGAAUGUUAAUCUUGUUGAUUUGUAUGUCAUGUUUAAAUCUGGGUUAGGUGGGGUUAAAAACUAGGUCACUAGAUCAAUUCAAAGGAAAAGCUUGUUAACUCUCUAGAGGCCACAUUUAUGACUGUAACUUCAUGAAACUUAGAGAGAAUGUUAAUCUUGGUUAUCUUUAGGUCAAGUUUGAAUCUGGGUCAUGUCGGGUCAAAAACUAGAUCACCGAGUAAAAUCAAAGAAAAAGCUUGUUAACACUCGAGGCCACAUUUAUGACUUUAUCUUCAUGAAACUUAUCCAAAAUGUUAAUCUUGGUGAUCUUUAGGUCAGUUUCGAAUCUGGGUCAUGUCAGGUCAAAUACUAGGUCACUGAGUCAGAUCAAAGAAAAAGCUUGUUAUCACUCAAGGGGUCACAAUUUUGGCCCAAACUUAAUGAAACUUGGUCAGAAUGUUACCCUUAAUAAAAUCUUGGACAGGUUUGCUAUUGGGUCAUCCGGGUUCUAACACUAGGUCACCAGGUCAAGUCAAGGGAAAAGCUUGUUAACACUGUAGAGGCCAGAUUUAUGACUGUAUCUUCAUGAGACUUGGUUUGAAUGCUAAUCUUGAUGAUCUCGAGGUCCAAUUUGAAUCUGGGUCAUGUAGGAUCGAAAACUAAAUCACCAGGUCAAAUCAAAGGAAAAGCUAGUUUACACUGUAAAGGCCACAUUUUUGACCAAAUCUUAAUGAAACUUGGUUAGAAUGUUAAUCCUGAUGGUUUAUAGGUCAUGUUUAAAUCUAUGUGAGGUGGGGUUAAAAACUAGAUCAAUUCUAAGGAAAAGCUUGUUAACUCUCUAGAGGCCAUAUUUAUGACUUUAUCUUCAUGAAACUUAGAGAGAAUGUUAUUCUUGGUGUUUUUAGGUCAAGUUUGAAUCUGGGUCAUGUUGGGUCAAAAACUAGGUCACCUAGUCAAAUCAAAGGAAAAGCUUGUUAACAUUCUAAAGGCCAAAUUUAUGACUGUAUCUUCAUGAAACUUAGUCAGAAUGUUAAUCUUGGUGAUCUUUAGGUCAAGUUCGAAUCUGGGUCAUGUCGGGUCAAAAACUAGGUCACCGGGUCAAAUCAAAGGAAAAGCUAUUAACCCUUUAGAGGCCACAUUUAUGAUCAUAUCUUAAUGAAACUUGGUCAGAAUAUUAAUCUUGAUGAUCUUUAGGUCUAUAGGUCAGGUGAGCGAUACAGGGCCUACAUGGCCAUCUUGUUUGUAAUGUAAACAGUUUGGACCUUGUAUUUUCCAGCUACGUUUGUAAUACACUUGUACAUAGUUUGUAUAUAACCUGUUCAUUCAUGUCAAAAUGCAUAGUAAGUUGUAAAUGCUCUCAAUGAAUCAAUAACAUAUGGGGCCUGGCAGAAGAGUGAUUAAGGAGGCCGACUUCGAGUCACGUACUUGCUUCUCUCUACUAAUGGUUUGAAAUGGGUCAGUGGUUCUACCUAGAUACCAGCCAAUGCCUAAAAAUGACGGGAGUACGCUUGGGGCCCCACCAUAUCAAAAGCAGAGAAGUUGCUAUAUGACAUCAUUGUGUUGACUGGCUGUUAAACAUAAUAAAAUGAUAACACAUACUCUCCAUUUAUCGAUGAUGUCCUCUGCAAAAUAAACUAUUUCAAUGGAGUUUGGAUUUGUGUAUUUGUCAAACUUGUAAAUAUGUAAAUAAACAUCACAUGUAUUUGCUGAGGUUGUGAAUAUGAAUGGGCAGCAGUGUUUAGGGUUUAGUUACCAAUGUGUAAUUUAUGUACAUAUUAUUGUUUAUUUACCACUGAUGUAACAGACACUGUGUUACAGUUCAGUCUUUAGAAUGGUGUAGUAAAAUAAGUUAAAAUAAUUUAGUUACAGUCUGUUCUAUAUAUAUAUAUAUAUAUAUAUUUCCGUUUGUACAUACAUGUAAUUUUAUUCCGUUAAGCUUUAAUGUAAAAUGUGUAUAUUAUUUUUGUCUUCAUUCAAACAAUGAUUAUGUUUGAAAUGUAAUGUGGAAUUUGUUAAAUGAACUCAGUAUACACUAUUUGGUCCAAGAGCAUGAGAAGGGAAAUAACCGCUGGAGUAGAAUGUGACCUGUACUAAAUAUCGGACAAUUGAUGUAUUACCACUGUUACCACCAGGUAACGAUUAGAAAAAAUCUCUAAGUCAUAUAUUUUCUGUCCAGUAAGGUAAAUUACAAGCAAAACAACCUUUACACAGUAUGAGUUUCUCUAAAUCUUUUUAUCAAAAUCAUAUUAGCCAUAUAAAUGAAGUUUGCUUGUGAGACGUUUUACAGUAUACUUGUUGAUAAAUUUGCUAGAAAAUUACUUUGACAAUUUUGAUAGUGGUGUUUCAGGUUUGGAUGUCUACAGCAUAAAGUAAACAGGCAAACCUGUAUAUAAAGGUCUUCCUUGCAAACGUCAAACAAUGGCCUUUGUGUUGGAGUGGCAUUUAUUCAUAGGUUAAAAUAAAGUAGAAAUAUUAAAUUUUGAAAUGAAAUUUACAGAACCUUUUUACUGUCAGUUGAGCUCAGCUCACGGGGAAUCAUUGGCAAAGGUUUGACUGUACAUGAUUAUUUCAUUUAAGAUAAACUAUUCAUAUUUUUUAAUCAUUUCAUCACAUAUUUCAACCAUAUCUUAUUUCUCAUCUUAUCAGAGAGAAACUAUAUCCAUGCAAUCUGUUGAAGACCUUUUAAGUUUCACCUAAAAUCAAAAAUUGGAAGUUUUCCUGUUUAAGCGCCUGUAAUAGUCCUUGACGUGUUUUAUUAAGGACUGAGGUAUUUGUUAAAAUGAUAAUGGUGUGGUAGUUGUUGAACUACUUUAAUAUAAUGACCAUGUUUGUUUCAAUACAUAUAUAAUACAUGGAUAUCACAAGUCUGUCAAAGAGGUAUUGUAGGAGAUAAAGCUUUUAUUUAUUUUUAGGCAUAAACAUCGAAACCAGUCCUUCAGAAGAUAAUAGGUACGGUAGAUUUCUCAGAAGCACAAAGCAUCGCCAGUACAACUGCAGUCCUUCAAGUUUCACUGAAACUUUUUUAUUAUUAUAAUGAAAGGCUGUUUUAGGAUAUGGAGCAUCUGAACCUCAUUACUUCAUUUUCUCUGAUAUUGUUUUUUUUUAUAUAUUAUUAAUCAGGCCAUUUUAGUAAAGGUACAAUUAUAGUACUAAAUAGGUAAUCCAGUCGCACUUCACUUCUUAGUGAAAGAUGCGGUCAUUGGAUAUCUUUAAUGUCUCAUGAACCGUGUUUUCAUGAGCCAGUAAGAAUGAUUUUGCCUGAACAACAUUUUAGUUUAAUUUUUCAUGACUUGUUUUCAUUAACCAGGAACGAUGACUUUGCCUAUACGCCUUAAUAAGUUUUAAUGUUUCUUGAAUCGUGUUUUCAUGAGCCAGGAACCAUGACUUUGCCCCUACAUCUUUAUUUUAAUGUUUCGUGAACCGUGUUUUUAUGAGAAAGGAACCAUGAUUUUACCUGUAAAUCUUAAGUAUAAUAUGCCAUGAACUGUAUUUUUAUGAGCCAAGAACCAUACUUUUGACUAUACAUCUUUAGUUAAGUGUUUCAUGAACCAUGUUUUGCCUGUUUUGUAAUUAUCAUAAUUGCGCCGUGCCAUGGGAAAACCAACAUAGUGGCUUUGCGACCAGCAUGGAUCCAGACCAGCCUGCGCAUCCGCGCAGUCUGGUCAGGAUCCAUGAUGUUCGCUUUCAAAGCCUGUUGCAAUUAGAGAAACUGUUAGCGAACAGCAUGGAUCCUGACCAGACUGCGCGGACAUGCUCAGGCUGGUCUGGAUGCAUGCUGGUCGCAAACCCACUAUGUUGGUUUUCCCAUGGCGCAGCUCAUAUGUUUAUGUUUAUCUUGCUAUCAAAUGUUAUGAUAUUUUCAAUGUAUUAGCUUACCGAAAUAUGUGCAAAACAUAUUUUACCAAUUAUAAACUUUAAUGUAAAAUGUUGUUCUAUUGAGAAUGUGUUGAAUUAAAAAGUAACAAUGAAAGUUA
Molecule: long non-coding RNA, 7599 nt
Organism: Mercenaria mercenaria
Lineage: Eukaryota; Metazoa; Mollusca; Bivalvia; Venerida; Veneridae
Exons: 3
Source: RefSeq, a predicted model, not a curated record